CACGAGCAACAAUAAUUCACAACCCAGCCGCCAGCUCUCUCGACCUCGAGGCUCGCCUGACCUCUCCCUCUCGCCGACUCGCCUUCCCGCUCGCCUUUCCCUCUCGCCAUAGCCAGAGCAGGCACCAGCAGAUGGAUCUGUCAGGUUCAUCUGGCGAUCAUCUUGGCGCGUAGGCGCAACUGCUAAGGAGACUUUAUGGUGAGCUGCAUUCCUGGCUACGUAUCGCAGCCCACAGAAUCUCCAUCGUAUUAUUUGCUUUAUCCUGUCUAAUUUACAUUCCAGAAAGAUGUUGUAUUAUUAUUGUACUCCUUAGUUAAUGCUCAUGCACUUGUGACAUCAGGUUUUGGGAUAUUCUAGUUGAUGUCUACGGGUAUGCACAUUAUUUUCACCCUUUAUUCUUAUGCCUUGCUAAUUACUUAUGUACCCAUGAUUUUAAAUGAGUAAAUUUCUUAGCCUAAUAAAA
Molecule: long non-coding RNA, 463 nt
Organism: Nicotiana attenuata
Lineage: Eukaryota; Viridiplantae; Streptophyta; Magnoliopsida; Solanales; Solanaceae
Exons: 2
Source: RefSeq, a predicted model, not a curated record